UGUGUGUCCGUGAGCUAAAUUUUCCUGGU
This 29-nucleotide non-coding RNA is filed under the name Homo sapiens (human). The record is from RNAcentral. Lineage: Eukaryota; Metazoa; Chordata; Mammalia; Primates; Hominidae.